GACGAACGCUGGCGGCGUGCUUAACACAUGCGAGUCGAACGGAAAGGCCCUGCUUUUGUGGGGUGCUCGAGUGGCGAACGGGUGAGUAACACGUGAGUAACCUGCCCUUGACUUUGGGAUAACUUCAGGAAACUGGGGCUAAUACCGGAUAGGAGCUCCUGCUGCAUGGUGGGGGUUGGAAAGUUUCGGCGGUUGGGGAUGGACUCGCGGCUUAUCAGCUUGUUGGUGGGGUAGUGGCUUACCAAGGCUUUGACGGGUAGCCGGCCUGAGAGGGUGACCGGCCACAUUGGGACCGAGAUACGGCCCAGACUCCUACGGGAGGCAGCAGUGGGGAAUAUUGCACAAUGGGCGGAAGCCUGAUGCAGCAACGCCGCGUGCGGGAUGACGGCCUUCGGGUUGUAAACCGCUUUCGCCUGUGACGAAGCGUGAGUGACGGUAAUGGGUAAAGAAGCACCGGCUAACUACGUG
This 468-nucleotide ribosomal RNA is filed under the name uncultured bacterium. RNAcentral's name for it is "partial 16S ribosomal RNA". It matches the Rfam family "Bacterial small subunit ribosomal RNA", at positions 28 to 507 of the family's 1533-position model. The record is from RNAcentral.